AUUAAGUUUAAUUUAAUAUAGGAUCUGCUCAAUGAUUUAUUAAAUAGCUGCAGUAUUUUGACUGUGCAAAGGUAGCAUAAUAAUUAGUCUUUUAAUUGAGGACUUGUAUGAAAGAUUUGAUGAGAAAUAAACUUUAUUAUUUAUAUAAUUAAAAUUUUAUUUUUAAGUUAAAAAGCUUAAAUUAUUUAAAGGGACGAUAAGACCCUAUAAAACUUUAUAAAUAUUAUUUUUAAUUUUUUUGGAAUAUAAAUAUUUUAAUCUUAUUAUUUAUUUUAUUGGGGUGAUAAAAAAAUUUAAUUAACUUUUUUUAAAAUUUAACAUUAUUUAGUGAUUAUUUGAAUUAAAAUUUUUAAUUAAAGGAAAAAGUUACUUUAGGGAUAACAGCGUAAUUAAUUUUUUAAGUUCAAAUUUAAAAAUUAGUUUGCGACCUCGAUGUUGAAUUAAGAUUAAUCUUAGGUGCAAAAUUUUAAGUAUUAGGUCUGUUCGACCUUUAAAUUCUUACGUGA
RNAcentral lists this ribosomal RNA (506 nucleotides) under Semiaphis heraclei. RNAcentral describes it as "partial 16S ribosomal RNA". Lineage: Eukaryota; Metazoa; Arthropoda; Insecta; Hemiptera; Aphididae. The record is from RNAcentral.